This is a non-coding RNA of Rhopilema esculentum, 1398 nucleotides long. Lineage: Eukaryota; Metazoa; Cnidaria; Scyphozoa; Rhizostomeae; Rhizostomatidae. The record is from RefSeq and is a predicted model, not a curated record.
UGUGACCCAAAGAACAAAAAUGACAAAUUCUGGUCUAGGCUGAUACAACCAUGCAGAUAAUGAAAAUAUUAUGGAUUCAGAUGAGCUUAUUGAUAAAAUAUGGAUACAUUAGUCUAUUGCAUAUUGCUGAUGAAAAAAUACAUUGUAUAUGAGGAUGUGACAAAAAGUCCAAUAAAAAGAAUUAUGGUCUGGGCUGGUGCAAUAUUGCAGAUAAUGGACAUUUUAUGUAUUCUGAUGAGCUGACUGAUAAAAUUUGAGAAUAUCGUCUAUUGCAUAUUGCUGAUGAAAAAAAACAUUAUACAUGAGGAUGUGAUCUAAAGACAAAAACCAAAAAAUUUAUGGUCUAAGCUGAUACAACCAUGCGAUAAUGGAGAUUUUAUUAAUUUCAAUGAGCGGAUUGACAAAAUAUGGAAAUUCUGUCUAUUGCAUAUUGUUAAUGAAAAAGAAAAAUUUUAUAUGAGGAUGUUACCCAAAGACCAAAAGAGAAAAAGUUUAGUGUAGUCUGAUACAUCCAUAUAGAUAAUGGAGAUUUUAAGGAUUUGGAUGAGCGGACUUAUGAAAUAUAGAAAAAUGGAGUUUUGCUGAUGGCAAUAAUCAUUAUGUACGAGGAUUUGACCCAUAGGCCAAAAAUAGGCAGAAUACCAACGCAAGAAGCAUAUUUUUGAUGGACAUGUUACGUUUUCAAUCAAUAUUACGUCACAAUCAAAUUUGUGCCUAUAAAAGCAAGUCGAGUUUUUUAACGGUGGCAGUUGGAUAAAGAUGUCACGGCGAUUGGACGUUAACAUUCCUUGGAAAACAAGUCCGUGGAAACUUUUAAUUGGAAAGAAAAUCCGCAUUAAGUUGACAACGGCAGAAUACCAACGCAAGAAGCAUAUUUUUGAUGGACAUGUUACGUUUUCAAUCAAUAUUACGUCACAAUCAAAUUUGUGCCUAUAAAAGCAAGUCGAGUUUUUUAACGGUGGCAGUUGGAUAAAGAUGUCACGGCGAUUGGACGUUAACAUUCCUUGGAAAACAAGUCCGUGGAAACUUUUAAUUGGAAAGAAAAUCCGCAUUAAGUUGACAACGGUAAGUGAGCUUUAGAACUUAGACUUUUUACAGAUAAAAGAUUUCAUUUUCAAAGGUUAUAAAUAUCCAAGUAAAUAUUUGCAUCUGUUCUUUACUUGAUGUAAUGAGACUUCCUAUCAGCCCUUUUUUCAGUAAUUCAUUGAUUCCUUGAACUUCAUUAAAGUAAAUGAUAUUCUAGAGAUUUUCUCUGUGUCAACAAUUUGGAAACGAUCAAUUGGAAACCGAAAAAAAGCUUCUUUUACAAAAAAACUAUUUAUUUUUAAGAAGUUGAAGAUACUUGAUAGCAAAAAAAAGUAAAUAUGCAGACCUGAACAAAGGACCAAAUAUGAAAAA